This 440-nucleotide ribosomal RNA is filed under the name uncultured bacterium. RNAcentral's name for it is "partial 16S ribosomal RNA". It matches the Rfam family "Bacterial small subunit ribosomal RNA", at positions 338 to 795 of the family's 1533-position model. The record is from RNAcentral.
CCUACGGGUGGCAGCAGUGGGGAAUAUUGCACAAUGGGGGAAACCCUGAUGCAGCGACGCCGCGUGAGCGAUGAAGUAUUUCGGUAUGUAAAGCUCUAUCAGCAGGGAAGAAGAUGACGGUACCUGACUAAGAAGCCCCGGCUAACUACGUCCCAGCAGCCGCGGUAAUACUUAGGGGGCAAGCGUUAUCCGGAUUUAAUGGGUGUAACGGGAGCGUAGACGGCGAUGCAAGCCAGAUGUGAAAGCCCGGGGCUCAACCCCGGGACUGCAUUUGGAACUGUGUGGCUGGAGUGUCGGAGAGGCAGGCGGAAUGCCUAGUGUAGCGGUGAAAUGCGGAGAGAUUAGGAGGAACACUAGUGGCGAAGGCGGCCUGCUGGACGAUGACUGACGUUGAGGCUCGAAAGCGUGGGGAGCAAACAGGAUUAGAUACCCCGGUAGUC